RNAcentral lists this ribosomal RNA (269 nucleotides) under uncultured archaeon. RNAcentral describes it as "partial 16S ribosomal RNA". It matches the Rfam family "Archaeal small subunit ribosomal RNA", at positions 477 to 746 of the family's 1478-position model. The record is from RNAcentral.
CAGCACCUCAAGUGGUCAGGAUGAUUAUUGGGCCUAAAGCAUCCGUAGCCGGCGCUGUAAGUUUUCGGUUAAAUCUGUACGCUCAACGUACAGGCUGCCGGGAAUACUGCAGCGCUAGGGAGUGGGAGAGGUAGACGGUACUCGGUAGGAAGGGGUAAAAUCCUUUGAUCUAUUGAUGACCACCUGUGGCGAAGGCGGUCUACCAGAACACGUCCGACGGUGAGGGAUGAAAGCUGGGGGAGCAAACCGGAUUAGAUACCCGAGUAGUC